This 492-nucleotide ribosomal RNA is filed under the name uncultured bacterium. RNAcentral describes it as "partial 16S ribosomal RNA". It matches the Rfam family "Bacterial small subunit ribosomal RNA", at positions 29 to 507 of the family's 1533-position model. The record is from RNAcentral.
AGUGAACGCUGGCGGUAGGCCUAACACAUGCAAGUCGAACGGCAGCACAGUAAGAGCUUGCUCUUACGGGUGGCGAGUGGCGGACGGGUGAGGAAUACAUCGGAAUCUACUUUUUCGUGGGGGAUAACGUAGGGAAACUUACGCUAAUACCGCAUACGGCCUACGGGUGAAAGCAGGGGAUCUUCGGACCUUGCGCGAUUGAAUGAGCCGAUGUCGGAUUAGCUAGUUGGCGGGGUAAAGGCCCGCCAAGGCGACGAUCCGUAGCUGGUCUGAGAGGAUGAUCAGCCACACUGGAGCUGAGACACGGUCCAGACUCCUACGGGAGGCAGCAGUGGGGAAUAUUGGACAAAGGGCGCAAGCCUGAUCCAGCCAUACCGCGUGGGUGAAGAAGGCCUUCGGGUUGUAAAGCCCUUUUGUUGGGAAAGAAAAGCAGCAGGUUAAUACCCCGCUGUUCUGACGGUACCCAAAGAAUAAGCACCGGCUAACUUCGUG